GAUGAACGCUGGCGGCGUGCUUAACACAUGCAAGUCGAACGGAAAGGCCCAAGCUUGCUUGGGUACUCGAGUGGCGAACGGGUGAGUAACACGUGGGUGAUCUGCCCUGCACUUCGGGAUAAGCCUGGGAAACUGGGCCUAAUACCGGAUAGGACGAUGGUUUGGAUGCCAUUGUGGAAAGUUUUUUCGGUGUGGGAUGAGCUCGCGGCCUAUCAGCUUGUUGGUGGGGUAAUGGCCUACCAAGGCGUCGACGGGUAGCCGGCCUGAGAGGGUGUACGGCCACAUUGGGACUGAGAUACGGCCCAGACUCCUACGGGAGGCAGCAGUGGGGAAUAUUGCACAAUGGGCGCAAGCCUGAUGCAGCGACGCCGCGUGGGGGAUGACGGCCUUCGGGUUGUAAACUCCUUUCGCUAGGGACGAAGCGUUUUUGUGACGGUACCUGGAGAAGAAGCACCGGCUAACUACGUG
RNAcentral lists this ribosomal RNA (468 nucleotides) under uncultured bacterium. RNAcentral describes it as "partial 16S ribosomal RNA". It matches the Rfam family "Bacterial small subunit ribosomal RNA", at positions 28 to 507 of the family's 1533-position model. The record is from RNAcentral.